UACGGGGGGGGCAAGCGUUGUUCGGAAUUACUGGGCGUAAAGGGCUCGUAGGCGGCCAACUAAGUCGGACGUGAAAUCCCUCGGCUUAACCGGGGAACUGCGUCCGAUACUGGAUGGCUUGAGUUCGGGAGAGGGAUGCGGAAUUCCAGGUGUAGCGGUGAAAUGCGUAGAUAUUGGGAGGAACACCAGUGGCGAAGGCGGCUCACUGGACCGGAACUGACGCUGAGGCGCGAAAGCGUGGGGAGCAAACAGG
RNAcentral lists this ribosomal RNA (253 nucleotides) under uncultured bacterium. RNAcentral's name for it is "partial 16S ribosomal RNA". It matches the Rfam family "Bacterial small subunit ribosomal RNA", at positions 524 to 776 of the family's 1533-position model. The record is from RNAcentral.